GACGAACGCUGGCGGCGUGCUUAACACAUGCAAGUCGAACGGAGAGGCCCUGCUUUUGUGGGGUGCUCGAGUGGCGAACGGGUGAGUAACACGUGAGUAACCUGCCCUUGACUUUGGGAUAACUUCAGGAAACUGGGGCUAAUACCGGAUAGGAGCUCCUGCUGCAUGGUGGGGGUUGGAAAGUUUCGGCGGUUGGGGAUGGACUCGCGGCUUAUCAGCUUGUUGGUGGGGUAGUGGCUUACCAAGGCUUUGACGGGUAGCCGGCCUGAGAGGGUGACCGGCCAAAUUGGGACUGAGAUACGGCCCAGACUCCUACGGGAGGCAGCAGUGGGGAAUAUUGCACAAUGGGCGGAAGCCUGAUGCAGCAACGCCGCGUGCGGGAUGACGGCCUUCGGGUUGUAAACCGCUUUCGCCUGUGACGAAGCGUGAGUGACGGUAAUGGGUAAAGAAGCACCGGCUAACUACGUG
Molecule: ribosomal RNA, 468 nt
Filed under: uncultured bacterium
Lineage: Bacteria
Description: partial 16S ribosomal RNA
Rfam family: Bacterial small subunit ribosomal RNA
Source: RNAcentral